Molecule: ribosomal RNA, 781 nt
Filed under: uncultured bacterium
Lineage: Bacteria
Description: bacterial SSU rRNA
Rfam family: Bacterial small subunit ribosomal RNA
Source: RNAcentral
AGUCGAACGGAGCACCCUUGAUUGAGGUUUCGGCCAAAUGAUAGGAAUGCUUAGUGGCGGACUGGUGAGUAACGCGUGAGGAACCUGCCUUUCAGAGGGGGACAACAGUUGGAAACGACUGCUAAUACCGCAUGACGCAUUUUGAUCGCAUGGUCGGAAUGCCAAAGAUUUAUCGCUGAAAGAUGGCCUCGCGUCUGAUUAGCUAGUUGGUGAGGUAACGGCCCACCAAGGCGACGAUCAGUAGCCGGACUGAGAGGUUGACCGGCCACAUUGGGACUGAGAUACGGCCCAGACUCCUACGGGAGGCAGCAGUGGGGAAUAUUGGGCAAUGGGCGCAAGCCUGACCCAGCAACGCCGCGUGAAGGAAGAAGGCUUUCGGGUUGUAAACUUCUUUUAAGUGGGAAGAGUAGAAGACGGUACCACUUGAAUAAGCCACGGCUAACUACGUGCCAGCAGCCGCGGUAAUACGUAGGUGGCAAGCGUUGUCCGGAUUUACUGGGUGUAAAGGGCGUGCAGCCGGGCAUGCAAGUCAGAUGUGAAAUCUCAGGGCUUAACCCUGAAACUGCAUUUGAAACUGUAUGUCUUGAGUGCCGGAGAGGUAAUCGGAAUUCCUUGUGUAGCGGUGAAAUGCGUAGAUAUAAGGAAGAACACCAGUGGCGAAGGCGGAUUACUGGACGGUAACUGACGGCGAGGCGCGAAAGCGUGGGGAGCGAACAGGAUUAGAUACCCUGGUAGUCCACGCUGUAAACGAUGGAUACUAGGUGUGCGGGGACUGACCCCC